Molecule: long non-coding RNA, 314 nt
Organism: Catharus ustulatus (Swainson's thrush)
Lineage: Eukaryota; Metazoa; Chordata; Aves; Passeriformes; Turdidae
Exons: 3
Source: RefSeq, a predicted model, not a curated record
GCAGGGACAAACCGGGAGCAUCUGAGAGGAGAUGAAGUGAAGCAGAACGCAUGAGACCUGGGACCCCAGGACAGGAGACAGAGGGCAGGGUCAGCACACAGCGCACCUGAAUCCCCAGUUUGGGAUGCCAAUGGCUUGCAGCACAUACAUCACGUUCUGGGCAAAGAAGACGAAGAAGAAGACAAAGAAGUUGAAGGAACUGUCGCUCCUGGGAGGAAGAGAUGGGUGAGGGCCUGCCCCGAGGUUUCCCUGGAGACUCACCCAUCCAGAGGUAGUACAUGGUCGUGACUGUCUUCUGGAAGUCAGCAGGGAUC